Molecule: ribosomal RNA, 491 nt
Filed under: uncultured bacterium
Lineage: Bacteria
Description: partial 16S ribosomal RNA
Rfam family: Bacterial small subunit ribosomal RNA
Source: RNAcentral
AGUGAACGCUGGCGGUAGGCCUAACACAUGCAAGUCGAACGGCAGCACAGUAAGAGCUUGCUCUUACGGGUGGCGAGUGGCGGACGGGUGAGGAAUACAUCGGAAUCUACUUUUUCGUGGGGGAUAACGUAGGGAAACUUACGCUAAUACCGCAUACGACCUACGGGUGAAAGCAGGGGAUCUUCGGACCUUGCGCGAUUGAAUGAGCCGAUGUCGGAUUAGCUAGUUGGCGGGGUAAGGCCCACCAAGGCGACGAUCCGUAGCUGGUCUGAGAGGAUGAUCAGCCACACUGGAACUGCGACACGGUCCAGACUCCUACGGGAGGCAGCAGUGGGGAAUAUUGGACAAUGGGCGCAAGCCUGAUCCAGCCAUACCGCGUGGGUGAAGAAGGCCUUCGGGUUGUAAAGCCCUUUUGUUGGGAAAGAAAAGCAGCAGGUUAAUACCCCGCUGUUCUGACGGUACCCAAAGAAUAAGCACCGGCUAACUUCGUG